AGAGAAGCUCUGGGGCUUCAGUCAAUGACUCAGGGUAGCCACCGAACAUGAUGCUCGGGCAGUGGGUGCCACCUGGACUCCACUCUCCCCUCUCUCUGGGAUCAUAGAGUCCAAGGUGUUCUGUGGCCUCUCGGCCAAUCCCAGCAGCUCAGCGUGCAGAAGACCGAGGAGCCAUUGGAAUUCAACACAACACGAAAUAAUCAACAAAUUCGGGGAAUGUUAAUCUGACCAUCACCAGUUACAAAUGAUGUUUCAUGCUACCUUCUAUUCCUGCCUUCAUAAAUCAAGCUCUAAAUCUCCAGGAAAAAAUGUGCUCAGGAUGGCCAGAGAAAUGUCCUUCCAACUGUGCAUGGAAAGGUAUGAUUUUGUGCAGCAGGUGAAGGACUGGUUAGAGUAAGUGUGUGCUGAGCUUUUGUGUUUGAAAGCGAGCCUGUGCACUUCUAACGAUUGGAAGGUUUCCUUGCCUUCUCCGAUCUUACACACAGCAAGGACAGCAAAGCCUUCCAGACCUGCCUGUGACAUGCACUGCACAUUCUAAAGAUGCCUAUGCAAUGGAAAACACCACUGUCUGCUCCAGCACAGCUGCCAUUCUUCCAUCUUAUCGACCUUAAUGCAACAACUCCUCACAGGCAGAGAUUUUAAAAUGUGUUCUUGGCAGAAGAGAGACUCAAAGAUGGGACAAAUGUGUCAUUUAAAUGCCUGUUAAAAUGGAAACAGACAUAGUAUAGUCAGAGGAUUGUGGCAGCUAAGAACAUAGUCUCUGGAGCAAAUCUGCAUGGGUGGCAAUGCCAAGCACAUGAGGUCCUAGUUGUAUGAACUUAGGAAAAGAAAAAGAGAACAUAUAUCCCCCUACCUUUUGAUUUCCAACAGUCUACUGAGAGGCCAAGAUUAUUUGCAGGGAAAGAAAAGGGGUCAAAAUGUUUUGCCAGUAACUCCCAAAUCAUCUACAGCCAAGGAGAAAAGUGUUUCAAGACAGAGGUGCUCAAUGGUAUCAAAUACUGCCAACAGACCAAGUAAUACAUGCAUUGAAGUGUCUACUGGAUCUAGCUAUAUAUGAAGAAACUGAGGCAGACAGAGGUGAAGAAACUUGCACAAGGUCAAAGAACAAAGAGUCACAUUAGCAGCUGGAUAUUCAGCUGUGAAGCUCAAGGAAGAAGUCAGGGCUGGAGAUAUAUGAAUGAGAACCAUCUGCAUAAAGAUGAUCUUUAAAAUCAUGGAGCUGGAUGAAAUCUCUCUCCACUCCUCCCCACAGGGGAAUGGAGCAAUGCCCAGGGCGCCCUGGGGCACCUCAACCUGCAGAGGCCAGUCAAGCUGGCAAGGAGUAACAGAAGACUGAUGAAGAAUGGCCAGCAA
Long non-coding RNA from Homo sapiens (human), 1353 nucleotides. Ensembl annotates it as long intergenic non-protein coding RNA 710. Lineage: Eukaryota; Metazoa; Chordata; Mammalia; Primates; Hominidae. The record is from Ensembl.